RNAcentral lists this long non-coding RNA (1227 nucleotides) under Homo sapiens (human). RNAcentral describes it as "non-protein coding lnc-ELN-4:2". The record is from RNAcentral. Lineage: Eukaryota; Metazoa; Chordata; Mammalia; Primates; Hominidae.
CUUCCCGUCGGUACCCAGGAGGGAGCACAGCCUGCAAUGGCCGCCUUAUCUCACCCUCGCCCAUGGCCCCGCAGACAUGAGAAUCUUCUUUCCAGAGGAGAGAGGGCCCCAGAUUAUGAUUUUCGAUCUGAGACAGUCCACACCCCUACCCCUUCCAGAAUCUUCUUUCCAGGGGAGAGAGGACCCCAGAUUAGGAUCUCCGAUCUGAGACGGUACGCACCCUCUACCCCUUCUAGAAUCUUCUCUUGUUUCUCCAAUGGCCCUUUGAGGCCAAUCCCCUUCUGGCCAAAACACACGGCCAGACAAGAAAGCCAUUGAGAGAACAAGCAAGGGUGUGUCUGUGCCCACUGGGGUGUCCCCAGAGCUCUUUGGGCAUCUGUGUCUUACCCCUUUCAUCAUCCAACAAAGGGUGACUCAACACCAGCACCAGCCCCGCGCCUUCGUCCCGGGAGGGCUGAGUCCUUCUGCGGCGUUGGGUCUGGGUCCCAGGGCUUGCCAGUUCUGCCGAUGCCUGUCACCUGGGUGCAAGCCUGUGUGUGGGCCCACAUGUGUGCCUGCAGAUGUCUCUGCAUGUGACAUGUGCAUGCCAAGUGUCCAGCUGUCUAUCCCUUAUGCUUAGUCUCUGAGUCUGGGCUGACUGUGCUGAUGGCACUUUUUCCAAAGGUUCCUGGUAACUGGGACAAGUCAGUGUGUCCUCCAGCUUGUUGUCAGGGGUCCCUGGGCAGUGCUAGGCAGCAGCUUUUGGAUGGGCAGUCAGUCGGUCAACAUAUGUUUAUUUUGGGGUGUAUAUAGGCGGUCCUGGGGGCUUGCUGUCUCAUCUGCCUCCAUCCACCGGUCUGCAGGGACUGCAAAUGAGGACAUAGUUGUCCCCUCUGGCCGGUGUUGCUGUGUGUCUCUGUAGUUAAAGGUGUACCCUGGAGCCCUUCCCCUUCCCUGGGUGCCUGGUUUGUGGGGUUUCUGUCCUGGGUUAGCAGGGGGCAGGGGGACCUAAUCCAUGGUCAAUACCUCCCUCCACCUCACUCCCCAGCAGAAAACCCAAAUGUGCAUGGAGAAAGAGCACUGGCUCAACUGUCCCCAAAGUAUAGAGACAGAUGAUUAAUAGAUGCAUACAUACAUGUGUAUAUGUAUGUAUACACACACAUCCAUCCAUCCAUAUGCAUACAUACACACACAUCCAUACAUGUACAUACACAGAUAUGAUAUCACAUAGAAUAAAAUACUCCAACU